Molecule: ribosomal RNA, 329 nt
Filed under: uncultured eukaryote
Lineage: Eukaryota
Description: partial 18S ribosomal RNA
Rfam family: Eukaryotic small subunit ribosomal RNA
Source: RNAcentral
CCCUUAGAUGUUCUGGGCCGCACGCGCGCUACACUGACGGAGGUAGCGAGCGUGUCCUUCGCCGGCAGGUGCGGGCAAUCUUGCGAGUCUCCGUCGUGCUGGGGAUAGAUGGUUGCAAUUGUCGAUCUUGAACGAGGAAUUCCUAGUAAGCGCGAGUCAUCAGCUCGCGCUGAUUACGUCCCUGCCCUUUGUACACACCGCCCGUCGCUACUACAGAGUGCCCGUGUCCAAGAAACGGUCGGACCUGUGCGGCCUCUCCGGGCGACCGGAGGGCCGUUACGGGGAAGACCCUUUAUUUGACGCGGGUCGAUGAAGUAAAAGUCGUAACA